RNAcentral lists this ribosomal RNA (322 nucleotides) under uncultured Pseudomonadota bacterium. RNAcentral's name for it is "bacterial SSU rRNA". It matches the Rfam family "Bacterial small subunit ribosomal RNA", at positions 30 to 351 of the family's 1533-position model. The record is from RNAcentral. Lineage: Bacteria; Pseudomonadati; Pseudomonadota.
AUUGAACGCUGGCGGUAUGCUUAACACAUGCAAGUCGAACGGUAGCAGGCCUUCGGGCGCUGACGAGUGGCGGACGGGUGAGUAACGCGUAGGAAUCUGCCUGUUAGUGGGGGACAACGUGGGGAAACUCACGCUAAUACCGCAUACGCCCUACGGGGGAAAGGGAGGGGACCGUUCGGGCCGUGGCGCUAAUAGAUGAGCCUAUGUUGGAUUAGCUAGUUGGUAGGGUAAAGGCCUACCAAGGCGACGAUCCAUAGCUGGUCUGAGAGGAUGAUCAGCCACACUGGGACUGAGACACGGCCCAGACUCCUACGGGAGGCAG